RNAcentral lists this transfer RNA (88 nucleotides) under Paracoccus denitrificans. RNAcentral describes it as "tRNA-Arg". Lineage: Bacteria; Pseudomonadati; Pseudomonadota; Alphaproteobacteria; Rhodobacterales; Paracoccaceae. The record is from RNAcentral.
CUGCGAUGCGCUGGCAUUGGCGGGCGGGCUUUCGGCGCUGGGGCUGGUCCGCGGCGACCGGGUGGUGGUGCAAUUCCCCAAUUGCGGG